RNAcentral lists this ribosomal RNA (820 nucleotides) under Mastigocladium blochii. RNAcentral describes it as "Acremonium blochii partial large subunit ribosomal RNA". It matches the Rfam family "Eukaryotic large subunit ribosomal RNA", at positions 74 to 930 of the family's 3401-position model. Lineage: Eukaryota; Fungi; Ascomycota; Sordariomycetes; Hypocreales; Bionectriaceae. The record is from RNAcentral.
AUUGCCCCAGUAACGGCGAGUGAAGCGGCAACAGCUCAAAUUUGAAAUCUGGCCCCAGGCCCGAGUUGUAAUUUGCAGAGGAUGUUUCUGGCGACGCGCCUUCCGAGUUCCUUGGAACAGGACGCCAAAGAGGGUGAGAGCCCCGUCCGGUCGUGCGCCUAGCCUAUGUGAAACUCCUUCGACGAGUCGAGUAGUUUGGGAAUGCUGCUCUAAAUGGGAGGUAUACGUCUUCUAAAGCUAAAUACCGGCCAGAGACCGAUAGCGCACAAGUAGAGUGAUCGAAAGAUGAAAAGCACUUUGAAAAGAGGGUUAAAUAGUACGUGAAAUUGCUGAAAGGGAAGCGCUUAUGACCAGACUUGGGGCGGUUAAUCAUCCGGCGUUCUCGCCGGUGCACUUUGCCGUCUCAGGCCAGCAUCAGUUUGCUUCGGGGGAUAAAGGCUUCGGGAAUGUGGCUCCCUCGGGAGUGUUAUAGCCCGUUGCGUAAUACCCUGGAGCGGACUGAGGUACGCGUUCGCAAGGAUGCUGGCGUAAUGGUCAUCAGUGACCCGUCUUGAAACACGGACCAAGGAGUCGUCUUCGUAUGCGAGUGUUCGGGUGUCAAACCCCUACGCGUAAUGAAAGUGAACGUAGGAGAGAGCUUCGGCGCAUCUCCGACCGAUCCUGAUGUUCUCGGAUGGAUUUGAGUAAGAGCAUACGGGGCCGGACCCGAAAGAAGGUGAACUAUGCCUGUGUAGGGUGAAGCCAGGGGAAACUCUGGUGGAGGCUCGCAGCGGUUCUGACGUGCAAAUCGAUCGUCAAACAUGGGCAUGGGGGCGAAAGA